UACGAAGGGGGCUAGCGUUGUUCGGAUUUACUGGGCGUAAAGCGCACGUAGGCGGAUCGAUCAGUCAGGGGUGAAAUCCCAGAGCUCAACUCUGGAACUGCCUUUGAUACUGUCGAUCUGGAGUAUGGAAGAGGUGAGUGGAAUUCCCGGUGUAGUGGUGAAAUGCGUAGAUAUCGGGAGGAACACCAGUGGCGAAGGCGACUUCCUGGCCUGUUCUUGACGCUGAGGCGCGAAAGCGUGGGGAGCGAACAGG
This 253-nucleotide ribosomal RNA is filed under the name uncultured bacterium. Its description in RNAcentral is "partial 16S ribosomal RNA". It matches the Rfam family "Bacterial small subunit ribosomal RNA", at positions 524 to 776 of the family's 1533-position model. The record is from RNAcentral.